This 861-nucleotide ribosomal RNA is filed under the name Bacillus vallismortis. RNAcentral's name for it is "bacterial SSU rRNA". It matches the Rfam family "Bacterial small subunit ribosomal RNA", at positions 400 to 1254 of the family's 1533-position model. Lineage: Bacteria; Bacillati; Bacillota; Bacilli; Caryophanales; Bacillaceae. The record is from RNAcentral.
CGUGAGUGAUGAAGGUUUUCGGAUCGUAAAGCUCUGUUGUUAGGGAAGAACAAGUGCCGUUCAAAUAGGGCGGCACCUUGACGGUACCUAACCAGAAAGCCACGGCUAACUACGUGCCAGCAGCCGCGGUAAUACGUAGGUGGCAAGCGUUGUCCGGAAUUAUUGGGCGUAAAGGGCUCGCAGGCGGUUUCUUAAGUCUGAUGUGAAAGCCCCCGGCUCAACCGGGGAGGGUCAUUGGAAACUGGGGAACUUGAGUGCAGAAGAGGAGAGUGGAAUUCCACGUGUAGCGGUGAAAUGCGUAGAGAUGUGGAGGAACACCAGUGGCGAAGGCGACUCUCUGGUCUGUAACUGACGCUGAGGAGCGAAAGCGUGGGGAGCGAACAGGAUUAGAUACCCUGGUAGUCCACGCCGUAAACGAUGAGUGCUAAGUGUUAGGGGGUUUCCGCCCCUUAGUGCUGCAGCUAACGCAUUAAGCACUCCGCCUGGGGAGUACGGUCGCAAGACUGAAACUCAAAGGAAUUGACGGGGGCCCGCACAAGCGGUGGAGCAUGUGGUUUAAUUCGAAGCAACGCGAAGAACCUUACCAGGUCUUGACAUCCUCUGACAAUCCUAGAGAUAGGACGUCCCCUUCGGGGGCAGAGUGACAGGUGGUGCAUGGUUGUCGUCAGCUCGUGUCGUGAGAUGUUGGGUUAAGUCCCGCAACGAGCGCAACCCUUGAUCUUAGUUGCCAGCAUUCAGUUGGGCACUCUAAAGGUGACUGCCGGUGACAACCGGGAGGAAGGUGGGGAUGACGUCAAAUCAUCAUGCCCCUUAUGACCUGGCUACACACGUGCUACAAUGGACAGAACAAGGGCAGCGAAG